AGUGAACGCUGGCGGUAGGCCUAACACAUGCAAGUCGAACGGCAGCACAGUAAGAGCUUGCUCUUACGGGUGGCGAGUGGCGGACGGGUGAGGAAUACAUCGGAAUCUACUUUUUCGUGGGGGAUAACGUAGGGAAACUUACGCUAAUACCGCAUACGACCUACGGGUGAAAGCAGGGGAUCUUCGGACCUUGCGCGAUUGAAUGAGCCGAUGUCGGAUUAGCUAGGUUGCGGGGUAAAGGCCCACCAAGGCGACGAUACGUAGCUGGUCUGAGAGGAUGAUCAGCCACACUGGAACUGAGACACGGUCCAGACUCCUACGGGAGGCAGCAGUGCGGAAUAUUGUACAAUGGGCGCAAGCCUGAUCCAGCCAUACCGCGUGGGUUAAGAAGGCCUUCGGGUUGUAAAGCCCUUUUGUUGGGAAAGAAAAGCAGCAGGUUAAUACCCCGCUGUUCUGACGGUACCCAAAGAAUAAGCACCGGCUAACUUCGUG
Molecule: ribosomal RNA, 492 nt
Filed under: uncultured bacterium
Lineage: Bacteria
Description: partial 16S ribosomal RNA
Rfam family: Bacterial small subunit ribosomal RNA
Source: RNAcentral